GCCGCCGUGGUGGAAUGGUAGACACCCCAGACUUAAAAUCUGUUGUCAGUAAUGGCGUGCCGGUUCGAGUCCGGCCGGCGGCA
This 83-nucleotide transfer RNA is filed under the name Akkermansiaceae bacterium. RNAcentral's name for it is "tRNA-Leu". It matches the Rfam family "tRNA". From Rfam's summary of the family: Transfer RNA (tRNA) molecules are approximately 80 nucleotides in length. Their secondary structure includes four short double-helical elements and three loops (D, anti-codon, and T loops). Lineage: Bacteria; Pseudomonadati; Verrucomicrobiota; Verrucomicrobiia; Verrucomicrobiales; Akkermansiaceae. The record is from RNAcentral.